AAGCGCUCAUGACCAGACUUGGGCUUGGUUGAUCAUCCAGGGUUCUCCCUGGUGCACUCUUCCAGCCCAGGCCAGCAUCAGUUCGCUGUGGGGGAAAAAGGCUUUGGGAACGUAGCUCCUCGGAGUGUUAAAGCCCUUUGCACAAUACCCUGGGCCGGACUGAGGACCGCGCAUCUGCAAGGAUGCUGGCGUAAUGGUCAUCAGCGA
RNAcentral lists this ribosomal RNA (207 nucleotides) under Nectriaceae sp. RNAcentral's name for it is "partial large subunit ribosomal RNA". The record is from RNAcentral. Lineage: Eukaryota; Fungi; Ascomycota; Sordariomycetes; Hypocreales; Nectriaceae.